CCCAGAGUUACUUUACCCCACACCCCUAGCGGGCGCUCAGGCCGGGAGCGCGCCCCCUCAACCCCGGAGGAAGGAGGAGCGGCGCCUCCUGGAACAGCCGGCGAGCGGGGGCGGGCAGUUCCAGGUGAUUGCUCCAAAAGAAACUACAAAACAAGAACAAACCAAAGAUACUACAUAGUCACCAUCAACCUGGUAUAGAACACCUUAAUGAUGUUUCCUCCAUCACGGGAUGAUGAGCAAGGUUGAUUUCAGUAUCGGCCUAGACAACAAUAUCCACUGCUGGCUUGGUACUGAGCAUUGAGCAGGGUGCUAGGGAGACCUGCCCUCAGCCUGCUUACCGCCUACCACUCCUUCUGCCUCUGCCCCAGGAGAUGCAAACUCCAGGAAGACAGAAGCAAUAUCCCGUGUAGCACGGGACACAACGCCCAUUCCCCUGGACAGCAGCCAGUGAAGUCUGUAGGUGAAUGUGCCCACUGUUAUUCAAAGCUCUUUGGGUUUAAGAGAGGCUGACAAAGUGCAAUAGGACCACAAAAGGAGAGAACAACCUUCAAGAGGAAGACACACCUGAAGGCCAUUUUUGUCCGACUCUUGUUUCUAGCUUCAGAGUCUUGGCUCCUCUAGUCUCUCCUGCCUGGAGUAGCCUGGCUUCCUCUCAACCACACUGGGCUAACUCAGAACAUAGUAAUCAAUCAAUAUUCGUUUGAACUAACAAGAGACAGAGUGAACAGAUUAUGCUCUAUAGCUUUGGAUAUCCAUCACUUCACUCAAGACUAGCUACUAAAUUUGUGAAGUCCCUUGUUCAAAAAUUAACAAAUUCAAAACAGCAACAGUAGAGUAUUAACCAAGUGUUGGGCCUUCUAAAGCACAGGGCCCUGCUGUAGACUGAAUGUGUGUGUCCCCCAAAAUUCAUGUUGAAAACCUAAUGUCCAAGUGAUGGUACUAGGGGAUGGCCUGUGAGAGGUGAUUAGGUCAAGAGGGCAGAACCCUCAAAAAUGGAAUUAGCGCCCUUAUAAAAGAGGCUGCAGAGAGAUCCCUUGACUUUCCAUCAUGUGAGGACACAAGAAGGCCCUAUGAACCAGGAGGAGAGAUCUCACCAGAAUAUGACCAUGCUGGUGCUUGAUCUUGGACUUCCCAGCCUCCAGAACUGUGAGAAAUAAAUUUGUUUAUAA
This is a long non-coding RNA of Manis javanica (Malayan pangolin), 1169 nucleotides long. RefSeq lists it as uncharacterized. Lineage: Eukaryota; Metazoa; Chordata; Mammalia; Pholidota; Manidae. The record is from RefSeq and is a predicted model, not a curated record.